GAUGAAGAACGCAGCGAAAUGCGAUAAGUAAUGUGAAUUGCAGAAUUCAGUGAAUCAUCGAAUCUUUGAACGCACAUUGCGCCCACCAGUAUUCUGGCGGGCAUGCCUGUCCGAGCGUCAUUUCAACCCUCGAACCCCUCCGGGGGGUCGGCGUUGGGGAUCGGCCCUGCCUCUUGGCGGUGGCCGUCUCCGAAAUACAGUGGCGGUCUCGCCGCAGCCUCUCCUGCGCAGUAGUUUGCACACUCGCAUCGGGAGCGCGGCGCGUCCACAGCCGUUAAACACCCAACUUCUGAAAUGUUGACCUCGGAUCAGGUAGGAAUACCCGCUGAACUUAAGCAUAUCAAUAAGCGGAGGA
This 355-nucleotide unclassified non-coding RNA is filed under the name soil metagenome. Its description in RNAcentral is "partial contains 5.8S ribosomal RNA, internal transcribed spacer 2, and large subunit ribosomal RNA". The stretch from base 1 to 120 matches the Rfam family "5.8S ribosomal RNA", at positions 35 to 154 of the family's 154-position model. The record is from RNAcentral.